AUACGGAGGGGGCUAGCGUUGUUCGGAAUCACUGGGCGUGAAGCGCACGUAGGCUGACUGGUCAGUUGAGGGUGAAAUCCCAAGGCUCAACCUUGGAACGGCCCUCAAUACUACCAGUCUCGAGUCCGGGAGAGGUGAGUGGAAUUCCUAGUGUAGAGGUGAAAUUCGUAGAUAUUAGGAAGAACACCAGUGGCGAAGGCGGCUCACUGGCCCGGUACUGACGCUGAGGUGCGAAAGCGUGGGGAGCAAACAGGAUUAGAAACCCCGGUAGUCC
This 274-nucleotide ribosomal RNA is filed under the name uncultured bacterium. Its description in RNAcentral is "partial 16S ribosomal RNA". It matches the Rfam family "Bacterial small subunit ribosomal RNA", at positions 523 to 796 of the family's 1533-position model. The record is from RNAcentral.